GAUGUGUUGGGGGGGAGGGUAAUGCAUUCCAUUUCAUGGACACGUGGAUUGUGUUUUCCAGGGGGAAGAGUUUGCCUGUAACACAUCUUAUCUGUUGAGACCCACGUGGUUUCCAGAAGGGUGGCAGUACUUCCUUCCUCCCCGCCCGUCUGUCUGUAACUCCCCCUUUUGCCCCUCACCCUGGGCUAUACUGGGCAAUCUUCUAAAGCUAGGUGGCGCGGGGGGGGGGGGGGGGGGGGGGGCAGGGGAACCAGGUUCCCACACGAAUAAAAAGAGGGGGGGAACAGAAAGAUGCAAACAAAAACAAAUACAGAAAUGCUAGCUACUCCUCUAAGGGCAGACACCGCUGUCCUACACCAACCAAUUUCUUCUUUUCCUCAUCUUCGCUCUCCUUUAAAUCAUCAGCUUUUAAAGCAACAUACUCCAGUGCAUCUAUCUCUUCUCUUCUCUUUCUUUCUUUCUUUUUUCUUUCUCGUUAUGCGAUUCUCUCUCUCUUUCCCCUCUCUGCCUACCUCCUCAGACAGUCGCCACUUCUGGGAGAGAUCUGGGCAGACCCCUCCAUGCCUCCUUUCUGGGCAGGGGGGGGGGGGGGGGGCUGCCAAGCGGUCACAGUGAGACUGGGAAAGAAAGGUGUGUGUGUGUGUGUGUGUGGGUGAGGGGGAGGGGGUGGCAUAGGAGUGGCUUGGGGUAGAAGGGGAUGGGGGGGGGUUCUGGCAAAACAUUAAACCAAAACCUGAAGGAAAAGAACAAAGAUUCUACCAGUCCUUUACUUAGGAGAAUGAGAACCUUGGCAAAGAAGAGAGAGAAGAGAGACAAACAGAGAGAGAGACAGACAGACAGACAGAUAGAGAGAGAGAGAGACGGAGAGAGAGAGACAGACAGACAGACAGACAGACAGACAGACAGACAGACAGACAGAUAAAGAGAGAGAGAGAGAGAGAGAGAGGUAUGGGCAAUGGCUUACACAAGCAUCAGGAGUGAUGUGUGUAGAUUUUCUUUCUCCAAUUCUCAGCCCAUCUCUCUCUCUCUCUCUCUCUCUCUCUUCUUGUUUCCUCUCUCUUCUCCUCCACUUCUCCGUCCCCUCUCCUUGAUAGCGCUACACGUUACUUAAGCUCCACCCACCCCUAUUACACAGCACAGCUACAGGAUGGCAGUCCACUGAGCCAUCUCAACUCAGGGCAAAACAAACAAACAAACAAACAAAGAAACAAACAAAAGUUGAAACAAGAAACAACCGAAAACCGCACAGAGGAUCGGUACACACACCGUAUUCUGCCAGGCAAGCACACACAGGUGAUCAAACCAGUCCUCCAGUGAUGUUUGUGCCAUCCGCAUGUGCUCAUGUAUAUAUGUAUUUACAUGUUAUAGACGCGCACACACACACACAUAUCAACACACACGCGCGUUCACACACACACACACACACACACACACACACAGGUGUGGGACAGGGCAGGGCAUCUCCGUGGUUUCCUCUUCACUCUCAUUUAGUGCACAAGUUCAUCAUUGAGUUUUUUUUCUUAAAAAAACAAUAAAACAAAAAAAAGACAAAAACCAUAACAUGAAAAAAGCAAAAAAAGCCAAAUUAUGAAAAAAUACAGUUUCCUUCCAUCUUCCAGGAAGAAGAAUCCAGACACGUCGCUUUUUUUUUUUCUCUUUUUCUUCAGCUUUGUCUAUAAAACAGUCAAUAAUAUUCUAUAAUGUGUCAUCAAUUGCAUUAAAGGAAAGGAAACCCCAAAGACUCAAAUACUGUAUGGCGACUGAGACCUCAGUCUUUCAAUUGUUUAUGUUGUGAGUUUAGUCCUUGUCCAGACCAGACCGGCGUGGGGUUGGGUUGGGUGGGGUUGGGUUGGAGUUUAUGCAUAAGCACUUUCCGUGGCUAACAGCCAGAGUAUGAAACAGGUUCCACCAAAGAUGUUUUUCUUCGCUUUUGUUUUUUUUCUUUUUUUUUCAAAAGAAUCCCAAAAAACAAACCAGAAAAAAAAAAAACAAUAACAGCCUAAUACAUCAAGGACGGUAAAUGUGUGCAGAUAUAUAUAUUUAUAUAUAUAUAUAUCUAAAAAUGGUACUUCCUACCUUCAAAAGAAGAAGAAGAAAAACAAUAAAAAAAAACAAGUGCACAUGGAAAGUAUUUCGUGCAUAAGGUCCAAGGUGUCUUUGACAGCGAGCAACCGGGGGUUCACCUCAAAAAAUAACAAACUGAAGGGGUGGAAGAGAAAGAUCGAGAGAGAUGAAGAGAGAGAGAGGAGAAGAAAGAGUGAGGAAGUAAAACAUGAGUGAAAUGUGAACUGAGAGUAUUAGGUUUGGCAUUUAUCUCAAUUAUUAGAGUAGGGAUAGAGGGAUAGAGAGAGAGAGAGAGAGAGUUGUAGUGAAAGACAGAGGAACAGCUAGAUGAAAAGAUUGAUAGACGGAGGAUAAAAAAGAGAAAGAACGACCGGGACAGAAAGAAAGAGAGAGGACGAGAAAAACCCCUGUGAUGAUUAAUCCUCUCCGCCUCGUCAUGUCACACUACGCUGUCACGUGUGACAAACAGACAGCUGGCUCACAGGUGUGUGUGUGCAUGUGCCCCUGGCCCCUCUCCCUGGGAAACCCCGUUCCCAAAACCUCCCCCAGAUGCAGGAGGAAGGGAUACCGGCCCCCCCUGCCCUCCUCCCUCUCCCCA
Clupea harengus (Atlantic herring) is the source of this 2662-nucleotide long non-coding RNA. NCBI's taxonomy places the organism in Eukaryota, Metazoa, Chordata, Actinopteri, Clupeiformes, Clupeidae. The record is from Ensembl.